Molecule: ribosomal RNA, 292 nt
Filed under: uncultured bacterium
Lineage: Bacteria
Description: partial 16S ribosomal RNA
Rfam family: Bacterial small subunit ribosomal RNA
Source: RNAcentral
GUGCCAGCAGCCGCGGUAAUACAGAGGUGCCGAGCGUUAGGCGGAAUCACUGGGCUUAAAGCGUGUGUAGGCGGAUGCCUAAGUACCUUGUGAAAUCCCACGGCUUAACCGUGGAACUGCUCGGUAUACUGGGUGUCUUGAGCCACUUAGGGGUUACCGGAACAAAUGGUGGAGCGGUGAAAUGCGUAGAUAUCAUUUGGAACGCCAAUGGUGAAAACAGGUAACUGGGAGUGUGCUGACGCUGAGACACGAAAGCCAGGGGAGCGAACGGGAUUAGAUACCCCCGUAGUCC